Schistocerca nitens (vagrant locust) is the source of this 270-nucleotide long non-coding RNA. RefSeq lists it as uncharacterized. The record is from RefSeq and is a predicted model, not a curated record. Lineage: Eukaryota; Metazoa; Arthropoda; Insecta; Orthoptera; Acrididae. The transcript is spliced from 3 exons.
GGCGCUGCGCGGUCGUCGAUCGGCUCCGCACGGCUGCGUCUCGGCUCAGCUCGGCUCGGCAGGCACCCGACACCGGUCCGCGCGCUGCGGGUCGCGUCCCACUACUCUCCGGCACACGGCUUCCGCUGCGGCAGGAGCGCAGCUACACGUCUCCUCAAAGAGAUUUCUCGUAACUGGUGCUGGUGUCGUACAACAAUAACUGGGAAAACAUUAGUAACGUGUCAUGGCACGACCUUCGUACUUUCGGCGUUUGAUAGCAGCAACUAAGAG